UUGCAAACUCGAUCACUGGCUCUGCGGGUUGUGGCAGACGCAAGGGGAACAGGUUUGCUAAAGUAAAUGUGGUAACAGAACUAUACCAGCCUUAGAAAGAAUAAUGUUAAGGCUGUUCAUUCUGUGCCAUAACAAAA
This is a small nucleolar RNA of Podarcis muralis (Common wall lizard), 137 nucleotides long. NCBI's taxonomy places the organism in Eukaryota, Metazoa, Chordata, Lepidosauria, Squamata, Lacertidae. The record is from Ensembl.